GUAGGGAAUAUUGGGCAAUGGUCGGAAGACUGACCCAGCCAUGCCGCGUGCAGGAAGACGGCCCUCUGGGUUGUAAACUGCUUUUAUCUGGGAAGAAAAAGGCCAUGCGUGGCAAAUUGCCGGUACCAGAUGAAUAAGCACCGGCUAACUCCGUGCCAGCAGCCGCGGUAAUACGGAGGGUGCGAGCGUUGCCCGGAUUUAUUGGGUUUAAAGGGUGCGUAGGCGGCUGAUUAAGUCAGCGGUGAAAGAGUUCGGCUUAACCGGAGCAGUGCCGUUGAUACUGGUUGGCUUGAGUGUCGGAGGGGUACAUGGAAUUGAUGGUGUAGCGGUGAAAUGCAUAGAUACCAUCAGGAACACCGAUAGCGAAGGCAUUGUACUGGCCGACAACUGACGCUGAUGCACGAAAGUGUGGGGAUCGAACAGGAUUAGAUACCCUAGUAGUCC
RNAcentral lists this ribosomal RNA (444 nucleotides) under uncultured bacterium. Its description in RNAcentral is "partial 16S ribosomal RNA". It matches the Rfam family "Bacterial small subunit ribosomal RNA", at positions 354 to 796 of the family's 1533-position model. The record is from RNAcentral.